UGCUAAUACCGAAUGUUGUGCAAUCUCCGCAUGGAGGAUGCAUUAAAGAUGGCCUCUACUUGUAAGCUAUCGCUUUGCGAUGGGUCUGCGUCUGAUUAGCUAGUUGGUGGGGUAACGGCCUACCAAGGCGACGAUCAGUAGCCGGUCUGAGAGGAUGAACGGCCACAUUGGAACUGAGACACGGUCCAGACUCUACGGGAGGCAGCAGUGGGGAAUCUUCCGCAAUGGGCGAAAGCCUGACGGAGCAACGCCGCGUGAGUGAAGAAGGUCUUCGGAUCGUAAAGCUCUGUUGUCGGGGACGAAUGUGUUUUUGUGAAUAAUGAGAAGCAAUGACGGUACCUGACGAGGAAGCCACGGCUAACUACGUGCCAGCAGCCGCGGUAAUACGUAGGUGGCGAGCGUUGUCCGGAAUUAUUGGGCGUAAAGGGAGCGCAGGCGGGAAGGCAAGUCAGUCUUAAAAGUGCGGGGCUCAACCCCGUGAUGGGAUUGAAACUGUCUUUCUUGAGUGCAGGA
Molecule: ribosomal RNA, 513 nt
Filed under: uncultured rumen bacterium
Lineage: Bacteria
Description: bacterial SSU rRNA
Rfam family: Bacterial small subunit ribosomal RNA
Source: RNAcentral